Molecule: long non-coding RNA, 612 nt
Filed under: Heterocephalus glaber (naked mole-rat)
Lineage: Eukaryota; Metazoa; Chordata; Mammalia; Rodentia; Bathyergidae
Description: lncRNA (ENSHGLG00000039161.1)
Source: RNAcentral
GAAUAUUUUAAAGCAAAUAUCAUCCUGGUGUUGAACUCUUAACUAUUUCAGUUUGAAUCGCUAGAAGACAAGAAAACUGAGGGUCAUGAAGAGACAACUUCCUCAUGGAUACACACCUACUAAGCAGCAGCGCCUGCAUGGAAAGGUAUGUCUGCCUGGAGCUUCAGAAUGUAAUCUUUUUUCGAAUACAAGUUUGUGAAGAUAUAAUCAAGGUAAGGGUCUCACGAUGAGAUCACCCUGGAUUAGAGAAGACUGAAUCCAAUGAUGAUGUCUUUAUAAGAAACAGAAAAAAAGACUCACGGCCCCAGGGAGAAAGCCACGCAGAGACGAGGAGGGAAUGGGGUUAGUUAUGAAGUCCGGAACCAGGGAAUGUGGAGAAAGCAGAGGCGGAAAGGAAUGAUUCUUUCUCAGAGCCUCCAGAGGCAAGCGGACCUGGACGACACCUAGAGUUUGAACUUACGGCCUUCAGAACUUUGAAGGCAAAACUUUCUGCUAUUUUAAGCCACCAGCUUUGAGACCAUUUGUCAGCGCAGCUUCAGGAAACUAAGACACCAGCUGCAUAAUUUCCUGAUAGUUUAAAAGUCACACCGACCUGAAGGUUGGUUCUCCUAG